This 495-nucleotide ribosomal RNA is filed under the name uncultured bacterium. RNAcentral describes it as "partial 16S ribosomal RNA". It matches the Rfam family "Bacterial small subunit ribosomal RNA", at positions 28 to 507 of the family's 1533-position model. The record is from RNAcentral.
GAUGAACGCUGGCGGCGUGCCUAAUACAUGCAAGUAGAACGCUGAAGGAGGAGCUUGCUCUUCUGGAUGAGUUGCGAACGGGUGAGUAACGCGUAGGUAACCUGCCUGGUAGCGGGGGAUAACUAUUGGAAACGAUAGCUAAUACCGCAUGACAACAGUUAUUGCAUGAUAACUGUUUAAAAGGGGCAACUGCUCCACUACCAGAUGGACCUGCGUUGUAUUAGCUAGUUGGUGAGGUAACGGCUCACCAAGGCGACGAUACAUAGCCGACCUGAGAGGGUGAUCGGCCAAACUGGGACUGAGACACGGCCCAGAAUGCUACGGGAGGCAGCAGUAGGGAAUCUUCGGCAAUGGACGGAAGUCUGACCGAGCAACGCCGCGUGAGUGAAGAAGGGUUUCGGAUCGUAAAGCUCUGUUGUAAGAGAAGAACGAGUGUGAGAGUGGAAAGUUCACACUGUGACGGUAUCUUACCAGAAAGGGACGGCUAACUACGUG